Molecule: ribosomal RNA, 663 nt
Filed under: Eurotiomycetes sp. TC84
Lineage: Eukaryota; Fungi; Ascomycota; Eurotiomycetes
Description: eukaryotic LSU rRNA
Rfam family: Eukaryotic large subunit ribosomal RNA (bases 400-663)
Source: RNAcentral
CUGUCGACGGCCCCAACCACAAACUCUUGUACUUAAACGUGUCGUCUGAGUUAACAAACAAAAUAAAUUAAAAACUUUCAACAACGGAUCCGUUGGUUCUGGCAUCGAUGAAGAACGCAGCGAAAUGCGAUAACUAAUGCGAAUUGCAGAAUCCGUGAGCAUCGAAUCUUUGAACGCACAUUGCGCCCUCUGGUAUUCCGGAGGGCAUGCCUGUUCGAGCGUCAUUAUCACCCCUCAAGCCCGGCUUGUUGUUGGACGCGGCGGCGCCUUUGCGCCCCGCCCGUCUCAAAGAUAAUGACGGCGUCUGCGAGGACCCCUGUACACUGAGCUUUCGGGCACGUACUAGGUGUGGAAUCCAGACCCGGUCACCGUCCCUCAGGGACAAACUUUUAACCAGGUUGACCUCGGAUCAGGUAGGAAUACCCGCUGAACUUAAGCAUAUCAAUAAGCGGAGGAAAAGAAACCAACAGGGAUUGCCUUAGUAACGGCGAGUGAAGCGGCAACAGCUCAAAUUUGAAAUCUGGUCCUUCGGGGCCCGAGUUGUAAUUUGGAGAGGAUGUUUCGGGCACGGUCCGGGUUAAAUUUCUUGGAACAGAAUGUCACGGAGGGUGAGAAUCCCGUCUGGAGCUCGGACACGACCCAUGUGAAACUCCUUCGACGAGU